RNAcentral lists this ribosomal RNA (253 nucleotides) under uncultured bacterium. RNAcentral describes it as "partial 16S ribosomal RNA". It matches the Rfam family "Bacterial small subunit ribosomal RNA", at positions 524 to 776 of the family's 1533-position model. The record is from RNAcentral.
CACGGGGGGAGCAAGCGUUGUUCGGAAUCACUGGGCGUAAAGGGCGUGUAGGCGGUCAAGUAAGUGGAAUGUGAAAGCCCCCGGCUUACCCGGGGAUCUGCAUCCCAAACUGCUUGGCUUGAGUACGGGAGAGGAUAGGGGAAUUCCUGGUGUAGCGGUGAAAUGCGUAGAUAUCAGGAAGAACAUCGGUGGCGAAGGCGCUCUGCUGGACCAUGACUGACACUCAGGGACGAAAGCUAGGGGAGCGAAUGGG